ACGCGCCGCUUCGUGAUGCUGCGAGAUAACUCGGGGGAUCUGGCCGACCCGCACAAGGUGUACGCGCUGAGCCGGGAGCUGUGCUGGCGAGAAGGCCCAGGCACGGACCAGACUGAGGCAGAGGCCCCCGCGGCUGUCCCACCACCACAGGUAGCCUUCUCUCUGCCUGCCUCUCCUCCUGCCAGGCCGCGGAGCUGCUUAAGCUGACCCUGACUUUUCCCUGCAGGGUGGGCCCCCAGGGCCAUUCCUGGCACACAGAGAUGCUGGACUCCAAGCCCCAGGCCCCCUCCCUGCCCCAGCUGGUGACAAAGGGGACCUCCUGCUCCAGGCAGUGCAACAGAGCUGCCUGGCGGACCAUCUGCUGACAGCGUCAUGGGGGGCAGAUCCAGUCCCAGCCGAGGCUCCUGGAGAGGGACAAGGGCUUCCCCUGACUGGGGCCUGUGCUGGAGGUGUGGGCAGUGCCCAGGGAGUGGCGGGGGAGAGCACGGGAGGGGCCAGUGUACCUGGACGGACACUUGAGAAGGGGGCUGGGGAUUGGGGAGCUGGAGAAGUAGGAGGGGACCACCGUUCCCACUGUCCUCCCCUCCUCAGGCCCAGGGCUCCCUGCUGGGGAGCUGUAC
This 620-nucleotide small RNA is filed under the name Pongo abelii (Sumatran orangutan). RNAcentral's name for it is "retained intron". The record is from RNAcentral. Lineage: Eukaryota; Metazoa; Chordata; Mammalia; Primates; Hominidae.